GACAUGACCAUCUCUUAGUUCCAUGGGAUUUAAGUUUGUCCAGCUUUCUGGAUAAUGGGUGUCUGAAUAUUGAUCCAAUACUAACCCUUCAUGGCGCCUUCCUAUUAUAUCUGCAGGGCUACACAGAUAGCUUUUAUUGAUUAAUGAAAACAAUCAGGAAUACAAGGAAUACCAGUAAUCUUUCAAUAAACAUGAAAUAAGUCAGAAGGCUGUCCAGAGAGACAAGAAGAACGAAAAGGAAAAAGAAAAGAGAAAGGAGAGGUGCAUAGAGGUUUACUUGGAGCUCUCCUUCCCAGAUUCGGGUAUAAUAAGAUUCUGAACCCCAAAUGCUGACGACAUCCCCUCAUCCAAAAUCCCUGGUAGAAACUCCAAGUUAUGACCCAAUGUAGCAAUAGGAGAGGGAUAAGGUAAGAGUUUGUAUUUUUUAUUUGUAGCAAACCAAAAUUUUUCCAGUGCAACAGUCUGAGGAUUAUCCUUCAAUACGACCUCUGAGUGUCUCAAUUUGUUCCAUAAAAUGCUUUUUAAUGGGAUACUUUGCCCAAUGUUCUUCCCACCGUUUCCAUUGUUUCUGAGAGUUAGGAUUCCCAUGCUCAAUAAGUUUAGCAACAGGCAGGCUUGGUAAUAGGAAUAACAGUCCGGUAGACUCAAAAUAUUGGGUUCAUUUUCAUCUAUGUUCAGGGCUUUCAAAAUGCAUGCAUAUUAUUAAAUAUUAAUCCCUUGCUUCCAAGCAUUCAUUGUUCCUCUAUGUGCUGACUGCUGAGAAUAGAUAAGCGCCACCAUAAACUAAUUCAUGCAUCUCCUCUACAUAGCCUUCCCCAUUGUAUAUAAAUGGUGUGUUUGGCUUAUUCUAGAACUGCAUUUUGAUUGCUAGUAAUGCUCCCCAAUGCAGUUCCCCUCUUUCCACCUGUGAUGCACUUUUGCAAUGAAGGUCUAUGUCAAGGAAAGGCAGCAGAAGGGAGUUUUCUUCUUAGCAGUACUGAGCCAGGGGCAGCAGUGCCAACACAGGUACAAUACAGAAUUGCUUUUAUGCACAAUUUAGAGAUAGAAAACAUG
Molecule: long non-coding RNA, 1053 nt
Organism: Xenopus laevis (African clawed frog)
Lineage: Eukaryota; Metazoa; Chordata; Amphibia; Anura; Pipidae
Exons: 6
Source: RefSeq, a predicted model, not a curated record